RNAcentral lists this ribosomal RNA (301 nucleotides) under uncultured bacterium. Its description in RNAcentral is "partial 16S ribosomal RNA". It matches the Rfam family "Bacterial small subunit ribosomal RNA", at positions 509 to 807 of the family's 1533-position model. The record is from RNAcentral.
CAGCAGCCGCGGUAAUACGGAGGGUGCAAGCGUUAAUCGGAAUUACUGGGCGUAAAGCGUGCGUAGGUGGUGGUUUAAGUCCGUUGUGAAAGCCCUGGGCUCAACCUGGGAAUGGCAGUGGAUACUGGCAAGCUAGAGUGUGUCAGAGGAUGGUGGAAUUCCCGGUGUAGCGGUGAAAUGCGUAGAGAUCGGGAGGAACAUCAGUGGCGAAGGCGGCCAUCUGGGACAACACUGACGCUGAGGCACGAAAGCGUGGGGAGCAAACAGGAUUAGAUACCCCCGUAGUCCCUGUCUCUUAUAC